Molecule: long non-coding RNA, 517 nt
Filed under: Bos taurus (domestic cattle)
Lineage: Eukaryota; Metazoa; Chordata; Mammalia; Artiodactyla; Bovidae
Description: long non-coding RNA NONBTAT019679
Source: RNAcentral
GCAAACUCUUUAAUGAAAUAGUUCUUAAAAAUGAUGUUUGGCCAGGAAAAUAAACACUUAACAUGACAGUUUCAUGACAUAGUCUGUGAUGUGGAAGCCAGCCUCUGGCUAGUGAUGAUAACCACACUGCCAGAUGGAUGUUCUACAGUCUCACACUGACUGGUCUAAUAAGGGAGCCAUUUAGAGGCAUCCUCGGCUUCAAUAAUGACUCAUUGUCCUGGGAAACUUCCCUUUCUAUGAGAAUGAGCCCUGGAGUUGCUCGUAAUUUCAUGGUCACUAUGACAACUCUGAACCUUUCAGAGACACUCUGGAUCUGUGGAUCUGAUUUUUAGGGAGUGCUGGAGUGGGGAGGUAAUACCACCAUCACUUAUUGAAAUCUAAAGUAAAAUUAUUGUCAUCCAAUAAAUUCAAAUUACCCUGUUCACCAUUAAUCCAGCCUAUAAAAGGCACCUUGCAAAGUGAGCCACAAUAAGUAUGUAUUCAUGGCACAAUAGCACCCAAAUCUAGGCACUUUCUC